Molecule: ribosomal RNA, 385 nt
Filed under: uncultured bacterium
Lineage: Bacteria
Description: bacterial SSU rRNA
Rfam family: Bacterial small subunit ribosomal RNA
Source: RNAcentral
AUUGAACGCUGGCGGCAUGCCUUACACAUGCAAGUCGAACGGCAGCGCGGGGCAACCUGGCGGCGAGUGGCGAACGGGUGAGUAACAUAUCGGAACAUACCCUAGAGUGGGGAUAACGUAGCGAAAGUUACGCUAAUACCGCAUACGCACUAAGGUGGAAAGUGGGGGAUUCGCAAGAACCUCAUGCUCAUGGAGUGGCCGAUAUCUGAUUAGCUAGUUGGUGAGGUAAAGGCUCACCAAGGCGACGAUCAGUAGCUGGUUUGAGAGAACGACCAGCCACACUGGAACUGAGACACGGUCCAGACUCCUACGGGAGGCAGCAGUGGGGAAUUUUGGACAAUGGGGGCAACCCUGAUCCAGCAAUGCCGCGUGAGUGAAGAAGGCC